RNAcentral lists this long non-coding RNA (562 nucleotides) under Salmo salar (Atlantic salmon). RNAcentral describes it as "lncRNA (ENSSSAG00000109932.1)". The record is from RNAcentral. Lineage: Eukaryota; Metazoa; Chordata; Actinopteri; Salmoniformes; Salmonidae.
CGCCCAACAACCUGCCCACUUGACCCUAUCCCCUCCUCUCUUCUCCAGACCAUUUCCGGAGACCUUCUCCCCUACCUCACCUCGCUCAUCAACUCAUCCUUGACCGCUGGCUACGUCCCUUCCGUCUUCAAGAGAGCGAGAGUUGCACCCCUUCUGAAAAAACCUACACUCGAUCCCUCCGAUGUCAACAACUACAGACCAACCUAUCUGCUGCCUUUGAUACCAUGAACCAUCAGAUCCUCCUCUCCACCCUCUCCGAGCUGGGCAUCUCCGGCGCCGCCCACGCUUGGAUUGCGUCCUACCUGACAGGUCGCUCCUACCAGGUGGCGAAUCGCAUCUCUGCAUGUCUGGCAGACAUAUCAGUGUGGAUGACGGAUCACCACCUCAAGCUGAACCUCGGCAAGACGGAGCUGCUCUUCCUCCCGGGGAAGGACUGCCCGUUCCAUGAUCUCGCCAUCACGGUUGACAACUCCCUUGUGUCCUCCUCCCAGAGUGCUAAGAGCCUUGGCGUGACCCUGGACAACACCCUGUCGUUCUCCACCAACAUCAAGGCGGUGACCCG